This 864-nucleotide ribosomal RNA is filed under the name Triticum aestivum (bread wheat). Its description in RNAcentral is "partial small subunit ribosomal RNA". Lineage: Eukaryota; Viridiplantae; Streptophyta; Magnoliopsida; Poales; Poaceae. The record is from RNAcentral.
AUGGACCACGCAACAGGUGCCAUGGGCAGCCUGCUCCCCAAGCUCGGCGAACUCCUCAAGGAGGAGUACAAACUGCAGAGAAGCGUCAAGGAUGAUAUCAAACAUCUCGAGAGAGAGCUGGAGAGCAUGCACGCUGCCCUCAGCAAGGUCGGGGACGUGCCGCGGGACCAGCUCGACGAACAAGUCAAGCUCUGGGCCAACGAGGUAAGAGACCUUUCAUACAUAAUAGAGGAUAUCAUCGACAAGUUCCUGCUGCAUGUCGAGGGCCCUGAGCCUGAAAACAAGCCACACAUGCUCAAACAACUCAUGAAGAAGAUGGGCAGCUUGUUCACCAAGUUUAUGAAACGCCAUGCCAUCGGCAACGAGAUCAAAAGUAUCAAGGUCAGUGUUCAGGAGGCGGCUGACCGGCGUGACCGGUACAGGGUCCACAAGGUGGUUGCUAAUCCAGAUGUUGCAACCACGGCCGACCCUUGCCUGUUGGCUCUGUACAAGGACCAAAAAGAGCUUGUUGGCAUUGAUGAUUCAUUGAAUGAUCUAACCAGGAUGCUGAGUGACGGGGAUGGUGAUGUGUCCAAGCAACUAAAGAUAAUCUCUAUUUUUGGAUUCGGAGGCCUUGGCAAGACAACUCUUGCCAAAGCAGUAUAUGAUAAGCUCAAAACACAGUUCGAUUGCAGUGCUUUUGUUCCGGUAGGACGCCAACCUAGCGUGAAGAAACUUCUCAACGACAUUCUCUAUGGAAUUGGCAAGAAAAUGUACCCUGGUUUGGAUGAAAGGCAACUGAUUGAUGAAAUCCGAGUAUUACUUGAGAAAAAGAGGUACUUAAUCGUCAUUGAUGACAUAUGGGAUAAAAAACAUGGGAACUAG